Molecule: long non-coding RNA, 483 nt
Filed under: Ananas comosus (pineapple)
Lineage: Eukaryota; Viridiplantae; Streptophyta; Magnoliopsida; Poales; Bromeliaceae
Description: long non-coding RNA (ACOM_LNC044122)
Source: RNAcentral
UUAUUUAUUAUAUAUAGUAUUUUAUUUUUAUAUAGAUAUAUUAUUAUAUAAUAAUUUAUUAUAUAAUUUACUAUUUAUUUUUAUAAAAUGUAAAAUAUAUAAAUAAAUGUUAAAUAAUUUAAACUACUGGUAUUAGAUAUAAAUAUGAAUUUUAUAAUAUUCAACAUUCACAUAUAAAUUAUACAUUAAAAAAUAAAAAAAUUUGAUGCAGCUUAAGUUAAUUUUAUAUUUGACGAAAAUUAAUUGCAAGAAUCACAAACAAUGAUUUCUCUUCUCAUUCACUAACUACUGGGGGACUACGAUACCUACUAAAAUUAUUUCACUAACUAAUAGGGGACUACUAUGCCUACUAAAAUUUUUUGAUAUACUUAUUGUACCAUUUAAAUUCUAAAAUUAAUUUUUAUAACUAAUUUUUAAAAUUAAAUUUUAAAAUAACUACCUGCAGCAUUGCGCGGCUCCCUUAACUAGUUACUAUAUAUUAAA